UGGGGAAUUUUGGACAAUUGGGCGAAAGCCUGAUCCAGCAAUGCCGCGUGUGUGAAGAAGGCCUUCGGGUUGUAAAGCACUUUUGUCCGGAAAGAAAUCCUUGGCUCUAAUACAGUCGGGGGAUGACGGUACCGGAAGAAUAAGCACCGGCUAACUACGUGCCAGCAGCCGCGGUAAUACGUAGGGUGCAAGCGUUAAUCGGAAUUACUGGGCGUAAAGCGUGCGCAGGCGGUUUGCUAAGACCGAUGUGAAAUCCCCGGGCUCAACCUGGGAACUGCAUUGGUGACUGGCAGGCUAGAGUAUGGCAGAGGGGGGUUAGAAUUCCACGUGUAGCAGUGAAAUGCGUAGAGAUGUGGAGGAAUACCGAUGGCGAAGGCAGCCCCCCUGGGCCAAUACUGACGCUCAUGCACGAAAGCGUGGGGAGCAAAGCAGGAUUAGAUACCCCUGGUAGUCCACGCCCUAAACGAUGUCAACUAGUUGUUGGGGAUUCAUUUCCUUAGUAACGUAGCUAACGCGUGAAGUUGACCGCCUGGGGAGUACGGUCGCAAGAUUAAAACUCAAAUGAAUUGACGGGGUCAAGCUGUUU
RNAcentral lists this ribosomal RNA (586 nucleotides) under uncultured bacterium. RNAcentral's name for it is "partial 16S ribosomal RNA". It matches the Rfam family "Bacterial small subunit ribosomal RNA", at positions 355 to 935 of the family's 1533-position model. The record is from RNAcentral.